This 496-nucleotide ribosomal RNA is filed under the name uncultured bacterium. RNAcentral's name for it is "partial 16S ribosomal RNA". It matches the Rfam family "Bacterial small subunit ribosomal RNA", at positions 29 to 507 of the family's 1533-position model. The record is from RNAcentral.
AUGCACGCUGGCGGCGUGCCUAAUACAUGCAGGUCGAGCGAACGGACGAGAAGCUUGCUUCUCUGAUGUUAGCGGCGGACGGGUGAGUAACACGUGGAUAACCUACCUAUAAGACUGGGAUAACUUCGGGAAACCGGAGCUAAUACCGGAUAAUAUUUUGAACCGCAUGGUUCAAAAGUGAAAGACGGUCUUGCUGUCACUUAUAGAUGGAUCCGCGCUGCAUUAGCUAGUUGGUAAGGUAACGGCUUACCAAGGCAACGAUGCAUAGCCGACCUGAGAGGGUGAUCGGCCACACUGGAACUGAGACACGGUCCAGACUCCUACGGGAGGCAGCAGUAGGGAAUCUUCCGCAAUGGGCGAAAGCCUGACGGAGCAACGCCGCGUGAGUGAUGAAGGUCUUCGGAUCGUAAAACUCUGUUAUUAGGGAAGAACAUAUGUGUAAGUAACUGUGCACAUCUUGACGGUACCUAAUCAGAAAGCCACGGCUAACUACGUG